This 469-nucleotide ribosomal RNA is filed under the name Vermamoeba vermiformis. RNAcentral's name for it is "SSU rRNA". It matches the Rfam family "Eukaryotic small subunit ribosomal RNA", at positions 1006 to 1477 of the family's 1831-position model. Lineage: Eukaryota; Tubulinea; Echinamoebida; Vermamoebidae. The record is from RNAcentral.
GAUAGAUACCGUCGUAGUCUCUACCGUAAACUAUGCCGACCAGGGAUCCGGAGAGUUUGCAUGGAUGACUCCCCGGGCACCUUGUGAGAAAUCAUAAGUGUUUGGGUUUUGGGGGGAGUAUGGUCGCAAGGCUGAAACUUAAAGGAAUUGACGGAAGGGCACCACCAGGAGUGGAACCUGCGGCUUAAUUUGACUCAACACGGGGAAACUUACGAGGUCAGGACACUGUGAGGAUUGACAGAUUGAAAGCUCUUUCUUGAUUCAGUGGGUGGUGGUGCAUGGCCGUUCUUAGUUGGUGGAGUGAUUUGUCUGGUUAAUUCCGUUAACGAACGAGACCUUAACCUGCUAAAUAGUCACGCGAACCGGUCCGCAAGGGCUCAAAGUUCGCGGCUCGACUUCUUAGAGGGACUAUUCGCACCCGCCAGCGAAUGGAAGUUUGAGGCAAUAACAGGUCUGUGAUGCCCUUAGA